Parasteatoda tepidariorum (common house spider) is the source of this 933-nucleotide non-coding RNA. The record is from RefSeq and is a predicted model, not a curated record. Lineage: Eukaryota; Metazoa; Arthropoda; Arachnida; Araneae; Theridiidae.
UUUGAAAAAAAAUUAAUUUUAGACCCAAUCAGACUUAACGAAUGUUGAAACUUUUUGUGAGAUCAAACAAAACGUGUAUAUUUUCAAUUGCAAUUGAGUAUUUUUUUUAAAAAUUUAGUCGUUAUAAAAUAUUUUCUAUAUUUAGUGUUUAUAUUAUCUUAACUAUUCUAUAAAAAUAUAUAUCGCAAACGCCAUCAAGUGCCUUGUUGAAUGAUCAAGAUCGAAGUAUAGAUAAAAUAGGAUUGUACCAGCAUUUCAGCUAAUUAGAAUUAUUUUGACUUUGACGGUAUAUCAGUCUUGUAUUUUUGUUUUAAAUAUUUAAUGUUGUAAAAUGUAUUAAUGAUAAAUAUUGCUCAACUUGUUUUAAAUAACAUAUUUCGGAACUUCUGUAAUCUCACUAAUAGCAAGGUGACUACAAGGUGUCAAAUUCAGCAAAGUCAAACAUUUCGUUUGAUCGCAUUGCAGUGCUAUCAUAUUACGGUUUUGCAUCAAAAUGGCUGCUGUUACGGACAUCACAAAUGAAAUUGAAGAUAAAAAAGAAUUCUUGCGUAGCGCAGGAAGGAGGCUUGACUUAAAAGGUUUAGUCGAUGAAGAGAUUCUAUACACAUUUUGCGGAAAUGGACGCAAGUAUAUUCUAUUCAUUCUACAGCUUUACCCAAAAAUCGGAAAAGUAUAUUUUACAAAUCUCAUGGACUCUUUUAACGUUGAACACAUUCCACGUAAAGCAGAAUUGCUCACUGCUGACCUUCAAGAUAUAAUCAAGAAUCUGUGUUUCCGAAAUUUCCUAUACGACUAAGUAGGAAUGAAUAUAAAGAACUUGUCAAAGACAUCGGCUUUUCAGUUGUUGAGUGUGAGGAAUAUUAUCGAAUAUUCGAAUUCGAAAGCCUGCUGGACUUUUACGAAAAAUGUGAGUAUGACAUUUGUUUCAAAUUU